Molecule: ribosomal RNA, 419 nt
Filed under: uncultured bacterium
Lineage: Bacteria
Description: bacterial SSU rRNA
Rfam family: Bacterial small subunit ribosomal RNA
Source: RNAcentral
UGGGGAAUAUUGCACAAUGGGGGAAACCCUGAUGCAGCAACGCCGCGUGAAGGAAGACGGUUUUUCGGAUUGUAAACUUCUUUUCUUAGUGAAGAAACAAAUGACGGUAGCUAAGGAAUAAGCAUCGGCUAACUACGUGCCAGCAGCCGCGGUAAUACGUAGGAUGCGAGCGUUAUCCGGAUUUACUGGGUGUAAAGGGAGCGCAGGCGGGACUGCAAGUUGGAUGUGAAAUACCGCAGCUUAACUGCGGAGCUGCAUCCAAAAACUGUAGUUCUUGAGUGGAGUAGAGGCAAGCGGAAUUCCGAGUGUAGCGGUGAAAUGCGUAGAUAUUCGGAGGAACACCAGUGGCGAAGGCGGCUUGCUGGGCUCUAACUGACGCUGAGGCUCGAAAGUGUGGGGAGCAAACAGGAUUAGAUACC